RNAcentral lists this transfer-messenger RNA (333 nucleotides) under Phycisphaerae bacterium. RNAcentral's name for it is "partial transfer-messenger RNA". It matches the Rfam family "transfer-messenger RNA". Rfam says of the family: Bacterial tmRNA, also known as 10Sa RNA or SsrA, is named for its dual tRNA and mRNA-like properties. Its role is to liberate the mRNA from a stalled ribosome. Lineage: Bacteria; Pseudomonadati; Planctomycetota; Phycisphaerae. The record is from RNAcentral.
GGGGGCGAACUGGAUUCGACCGGACGAGUUGAGGCGUCGGUGGCGUGCCCAGGUUCCAAGGAGGCCUGGUAAAACACCUUGGAAAACCUUUACUUGCCAAUCAACCGAUGGCAAUGGCUGCCUAAUUAGGCAUCCCGUCCUGUGGGCCUUGCCCGCGAGGUCCUCCAGGACGACAAGCAGCGGGCUUGCUGGCCGAAAGUUGCCAGGUUAAUCGGCCGGGACUACCCGUCAGGCUGGCUGGUCCGGACCGUGUCGCAGGCGGGCCGGAUCGGCGAGAUGCAAAACCGCGACUAUGCACGUAGAAGCCGGCGUUGAAACGUCACGGGACGCGGG